This 468-nucleotide ribosomal RNA is filed under the name uncultured bacterium. RNAcentral's name for it is "partial 16S ribosomal RNA". It matches the Rfam family "Bacterial small subunit ribosomal RNA", at positions 28 to 507 of the family's 1533-position model. The record is from RNAcentral.
GACGAACGCUGGCGGCGUGCUUAACACAUGCAAGUCGAACGGAAAGGCCCUGCUUUUGUGGGGUGCUCGAGUGGCGAACGGGUGAGUAACACGUGAGUAACCUGCCCUUGACUUUGGGAUAACUUCAGGAAACUGGGGCUAAUACCGGAUAGGAGCUCCUGCUGCAUGGUGGGGGUUGGAAAGUUUCGGCGGUUGGGGAUGGACUCGCGGCUUAUCAGCUUGUUGGUAGGGUAGUGGCUUACCAAGGCUUUGACGGGUAGCCGGCCUGAGAGGGUGACCGGCCACAUUGGGACUGAGAUACGGCCCAGACUCCUACGGGAGGCAGCAGUGGGGAAUAUUGCACAGUGGGCGGAAGCCUGAUGCAGCAACGCCGCGUGCGGGAUGACGGCCUUCGGGUUGUAAACCGCUUUCGCCUGUGACGAAGCGUGAGUGACGGUAAUGGGUAAAGAAGCACCGGCUAGCUACGUG